AGAUUGAUGAUGAUACCCUAGUUACAUCCCUGAGAGCUGAAAAAAUGAGUGAGAACUGCAAACCAUCUCUCUCAUUGCGACUGAGGUCC
Molecule: small nucleolar RNA, 89 nt
Organism: Heterocephalus glaber (naked mole-rat)
Lineage: Eukaryota; Metazoa; Chordata; Mammalia; Rodentia; Bathyergidae
Gene: SNORD116
Rfam family: Small nucleolar RNA SNORD116
About the family: HBII-85 is a member of the C/D class of snoRNAs, which contain the C (UGAUGA) and D (CUGA) box motifs. HBII-85 is encoded in a tandemly repeated array with another C/D snoRNA, HBII-52, in the Prader-Willi syndrome (PWS) region of chromosome 15. Unlike most other snoRNAs, HBII-85 is expressed prevalently in the brain (but is absent in PWS patients) and lacks any significant complementarity with ribosomal RNA.
Source: Ensembl